GUGGGGAAUAUUGGACAAUGGGCGCAAGCCUGAUCCAGCCAUGCCGCGUGAGUGAUGAAGGCCCUAGGGUUGUAAAGCUCUUUCACCGGAGAAGAUAAUGACGGUAUCCGGAGAAGAAGCCCCGGCUAACUUCGUGCCAGCAGCCGCGAUAAUACGAAGGGGGCUAGCGUUGUUCGGAAUUACUGGGCGUAAAGCGCACGUAGGCGGACAUUUAAGUCAGGGGUGAAAUCCCGGGGCUCAACCCCGGAACUGCCUUUGAUACUGGGUGUCUGGAGUAUGGAAGAGGUAAGUGGAAUUCCGAGUGUAGAGGUGAAAUUCGUAGAUAUUCGGAAGAACACCAGUGGCGAAGGCGACUGACUGGACAAGUAUUGACGCUGAGGUGCGAAAGCGUGGGGAGCAAACAGGAUUAGAUACCCGUGUAGUCC
Molecule: ribosomal RNA, 425 nt
Filed under: uncultured bacterium
Lineage: Bacteria
Description: bacterial SSU rRNA
Rfam family: Bacterial small subunit ribosomal RNA
Source: RNAcentral